AUUUGCUGAUGACCUUCAUGCCAGAUGCCCACUUGAGAGCCUGGAGAGAGUGGCAUGUAGCACUUUCUGCCUGCUGAGUGGCCUGCACACGCCCCUGGGAUCUCUGGCUCCAGAGCCUGUGUUUAUCCUGCUAUGGCAAACCACACUGCCUUCUCUAAGGCAGCAUCUCCUGGUGGGAAGAGUAUCAUCUGCUUUGAAGUUCUGUGAAUGGACCAGAGGAAGUGAAAUGAAGAAAAGAGACCAAAUAGGAGGCUGUUGCUGUGGUCCAGGCAGGGGGUGCUGAUGGCAGGAGAUGCUGGAGGCCAGAGCCAGGGCGGGUAGUCACUGGUCAGCAGAGGAUGCCAUAUGCCCCGUCUGAAGAUAUUGGAAAGGAGGAGAAGAAAGAGGAAAGCAGAGAAGAUCGCCUCGCAGAGGCCAGGCUGCAGCCUGGGCUCCGUGCACCUCUGCCUGCUGACGGGAUCCACCUCAGGUCAAGAAGGUGCUGGCUCACCCUUCCCUCAAGAUUUUAGAGAUCCCAGUGCAUGUCCUGGAAAUCCUUUAAAAUUCAAAGAAAACAAGCAAAGCUCUGGCUAAUUAAAUGUUUUCUGCUUACCGUCGUUAACAUAUUAAUGCGACAGGCUAAAUGUAUUACUCAGUGGUGCAGAAGCUCUUAGGUCUGUGCACCCCUUUUUGAGAGGAUUUCUCCAUGUGGCAUCCGUGUUUACAGUGCACUGGCUUUCUGUUCAUAGGGCUUUUACGUGGGGGCGAUGGCAUGGCAGAAAGCAUCCCCAGGGUGAGAAGGGGAUGGGGAGGUCCACAUUGCAGUUCAGACCCCCUGGACAUCUGCCUUUGAGAUAGCCACGUCCCUGAGCCUUUCCUUUCAAAGGAUGGUGGAUCAGUUUCUAAUGUUCCCAUUUUGACCUCUCAGACUCAGGAACUGGGGCUAGAGCACAGGUCCUCUCGUUGAGGUCACUGUAGCGCUUCAGCGGCAUCAGCACUCUUGCUUUCUUUUGCACAUCCUUGGUUUUCAGUUAUUAUGGGUACACAGCGAGCCACCCCAAAAUUAGUACAACAAUAGCCAUUUUGCUGUGUUCAUGGAUUCUGUGGGUAAGGAAUUGGGAAGGAGCCCAGGGUGUGGUGCGUCAGUUGGGAAGAUUUGAGUUGAUAGUAGGUUUGCUCACUCCUGUGUCUGUGGCGCACGUGGCCUCUGUGUGGCUGGGCUUCCUUGCAGCAUGGCACCCUGAGCCGCCUUCCACGGGGGCUUGCUCAGGGCUCCCAGCACAAGUGUUCCAGCCAACAGGGUGGAUUCCACAGCGCCUUUUCUGGCCCAGUCUCUGCCACAUUGAAUCAUCUGUACCUGGCGAGGUCCUGACUUCCUUUCUGCCAGAUCCUUCUCUGGUCCUCAAGGUCCCUUACUGUUUUUGCCCCUGGUUACAACCUCCUGUGUACCUGUCCUGGAGUGUUGUGGUUAGGAGUGUGGUCUCGGGCGCAGACUGAAAUACACUGCUGUGUGCAGUAGGAACCUUGGCUGCUGCCCUGUGUUCAUGGCAAGCACUUCAGAGCUGAGCCUGGUGUGAGGCGAGUCCUCCAUCAACGGCCUUGACUUUUCUUUCCCAGACUAAAGUGCAGGUUCCUUCAGGGAAGCUCUCUCUUGGUCAUCUCUGCCUGGCAUUUCCUGCAGGACUUGGCAAGUACUGCGUUCCCUCUGCUUGGGCGGUCUGCGCUGGGUCUGUCUCCUGUUCUGUAAGUCUCACAAAUUCACCCUCUCAGAGCAGCCGUCUCUGCCUGUCCCCUGCUAGGAGCUGUGGUGACCUCUACUCAUCUUGUUUCCUUUUGUUCAUGACACUAGCUCUAAUGAAAAUGUUUCAUCCCCUCUUUGUUUCUGUUAGACCAGGAUAUGAACCCCACCAGAGCCAGAUCUGGGCCUGUCUCCUUCCCUGCUAUUCAGUGCCUACAAGAGGGUCUGGGUCAAAAAUGAAUGGAGAGGAGGAAGGGAGGGGUAAAAAGAUCGACUUCAGGAAGAUUUCAGAAACACGGUGCUGAGAAUAGUAGGGUCAUGUACCAGGGUGGGAUUUACUUCCUUUUUAUACACUUAAAAAAUCUCAAAGACAUCCAUUCAGCUUUCAGUUUAGGUGAAAUCUAUUCGUAAUAAAAAUAAAAUGAUAUCUCAACGACAAUUUAAUUUUGAGUAAAAAUAUUUUCUGGAGGGCAGGGGGCUCUAAAUACAAAGAAGCAAAGAAGUGCAUCACCUCUCCCCAGUGGGGCUCAUGGCCCUUGAUGGAGCCACCUGGAGCCCAGGCACUUUGCGGUUUAUUCCUGGGUCGCCUCCACCUCCGUCCCUCAGUUAUGGGGCUGUGAUGGUCCACAGCAAGCCCCCAUUCUUGCUGCUCCACUGGUGUGAUUUUCUUGGGACCGAAAUGGGGAGAGGACAGGAUUGUGUGUUUUGCGAAAGCACAGCGUUGGACGUUCAUUGGUGUUCCUCUGUGCUUCCAUGACUUGAGGGCAACCAUCUAGCAGUUUACAGGGGUUCUGAAUAAAUUCCGGGGACCUGGAAAUUAUUGGAUUUAUUUUAUUUUAAGCAGAAACAUUUUAUGUUUAGUGUGGUAACGGCGUGCUCCACUUAGUGUGGUCAUGCCUAGCUCUCUUGUUUUGUGUCCACUUUGGAGUCUGGCUCUGGGCAAGCACUCAAAUGCUCAUAGGAAUCCCAUGGCUCAGGGCAUCCUCUGAACCCAAGGGCCUCUAAAGGGGGAACAGCAACGUGGGAAUGUGGGUGGGGACAGCGAGUGAGGGGCCGGGUGCAGGGUGACGGCAGGUGUAGGUUCUGCACGAUGCACACUGCACUGCAUGGGGGCACUGUGCGUUCCCCAGCAGAGCACAAUGAUGCCGCAGAGUGUGAAGUCACAGGUCUCCGCACUCAGCGGGGAGCGGAGGUGCUUGGGUUUGAGAACCGGGGGGGAGCAGGCAGCUUGGGGCCAGCAGAUCCACCCCUCUGCUCUUGGGGAGCUUUUGGCGGUCUGCUGGGUGAGGGCGUGGUGGUCACUGGUGGGUUCACGUGAUUCCCCGUCAUUCUGUCCCUAUGGCCCCGCCCUCCCUGACUGUGCCGUCAGUGGUCAGUGUACCUCCGUGCCCUCUGUGGUUGAACGUUAGUCAUGAUCACAGGACUUUAAUGAUCUUAUUGAGUACCCAGUGCCGGCCUCAAUUUUUACUUGGAGAAUGUGGGGUUUACAUGACAAAAUAUGACUCAUGCACGCAUGCUGACUGCCUGAAUUAGGGGCUCUUGGGCUUAGCUGCUGGUUGGAGUCAUCCGGGAGCUUCAGGAAGCUCCAAGCCCAGGCCCUCCCUCCCAGAGGUGGGGCUGAACGGACCUGGGGUGCAACCUGGGCUCUGGGGCUCAGGAGCUGCUGGAGGCUGAGGGGAGCCAGCAGGGCACCUGUGGGGUUCUCUGGGUGGUCCAGCGGAAGCUAAUGCUGGGCUCUGGAGAGGGGAGUGAGCAGCAGUGCGGAGUUCAAACCCUCAUCACAGACCUGGCUGCUCAGGGCGGCAUGACCUUUUGGAAGAGUAUGUGGGCGAGAAAUUGGAUGAUUUAUCUAAAAUAGAUGCCAGCAUGGUGUGAGUGGGUGACUUUGUUUAGAUGUAACUGUGCAUAGAUUAGGCUGUUUGGAUGUGUUUAAUUAUGGCAUGUGAUGGCGCCACUUCACCAAUCAUUUGUAUUAAAUGUCCUCAAGCCUAGUUUGAGACUUUAGGUCAAGUUAAAACUGUUUUAUCUGUCAGCACCUGGGAGACUCGGGAAGGACUGUCACUGCAGGACCAGUCCUAACUCUCCCUAUCAUGUGCAUCACAGGAUGUCAAGCUGUUCUGCAGAAGUAGCAGAGCCGAAGCUGCAGUCGUAUGACCUGGGCAUGUGGAGAGCAGGAAACUGUCACCUCAGUAACACUUAGAACCAACGUUUCCUCCCUGAGGAAUCAAAAAGCCUGGGCAUCACUGGAAGCUGAACACGGGAACCCUUUCAGAAACGAGCGGUCUGUUAUCCAGGAAGAGCCAGUGCUGAAGUCCACCAUUCCGCGCCUUACCGUAAAUAACCACAUUUAAAGCUGUCCCAUCAAAAUCCGCCCCGCCAGUGCGUCUGCAUACCAACCUGCCCUCCCCAGCCCGUUAGAGUCUCACCUGACCUAAUACUGGGGAUUCAGAUCUGAGCCCUGCCUCCUGUCUCCUUGCUGGUUGGCCUUGCAAUAAAGCCUUUUCUUUUCUCAAAAGUA
Molecule: non-coding RNA, 4235 nt
Organism: Macaca mulatta (Rhesus monkey)
Lineage: Eukaryota; Metazoa; Chordata; Mammalia; Primates; Cercopithecidae
Source: RefSeq, a predicted model, not a curated record